This 682-nucleotide ribosomal RNA is filed under the name uncultured Bacteroidota bacterium. RNAcentral describes it as "bacterial SSU rRNA". It matches the Rfam family "Bacterial small subunit ribosomal RNA", at positions 8 to 685 of the family's 1533-position model. The record is from RNAcentral. Lineage: Bacteria; Pseudomonadati; Bacteroidota.
AGAGUUUGAUCAUGGCUCAAGAUGAACGCUAGCGGCAGGCUUAACACAUGCAAGUCGUGGGGCAGCGCGGGUAGCAAUACUUGGCGGCGACCGGCAAACGGGUGCGGAACACGUACGCAACCUUCCUCAGAGCGGGGAAUAGCCUCUCGAAAGAGAGAUUAAUACCCCAUAGUAUCUUGAAACUGCAUGGUUUUAAGAUCAAAGCUCCGGCACUUUGAGAUGGGCGUGCGGCUGAUUAGGUAGUUGGUAGGGUAACGGCCUACCAAGCCAACGAUCAGUAGCUGAUGUGAGAGCAUGAUCAGCCACACGGGCACUGAGACACGGGCCCGACUCCUACGGGAGGCAGCAGUGAGGAAUAUUGGUCAAUGGAGGCAACUCUGAACCAGCCAUGCCGCGUGAAGGAUGAAGGUCCUCUGGAUUGUAAACUUCUUUUAUAGAAGAAGAAACCCCGGUAUUCUUACCGGGUUGACGGUACUCUAUGAAUAAGCACCGGCUAACUCCGUGCCAGCAGCCGCGGUAAUACGGAGGGUGCAAGCGUUAUCCGGAUUCACUGGGUUUAAAGGGAGCGUAGGUGGGUCUGUAAGUCAGUGGUGAAAUCUCCGAGCUUAACUUGGAAACUGCCAUUGAUACUAUAGAUCUUGAAUACUGUGGAGGUAAGCGGAAUAUGUCAUGUAGCGGUGAA